Molecule: ribosomal RNA, 253 nt
Filed under: uncultured bacterium
Lineage: Bacteria
Description: partial 16S ribosomal RNA
Rfam family: Bacterial small subunit ribosomal RNA
Source: RNAcentral
UACGUAGGCAGCGAGCGUUGUUCGGAGUUACUGGGCGUAAAGGGCUCGUAGGCGGUCUGUUGCGUCGGUAGUGAAAACUCAGGGCUUAACCCUGAGCCUGCUUCCGAUACGGGCAGACUAGAGGUAUGCAGGGGAGAACGGAAUUCCUGGUGUAGCGGUGAAAUGCGCAGAUAUCAGGAGGAACACCGGUGGCGAAGGCGGUUCUCUGGGCAUUACCUGACGCUGAGGAGCGAAAGUGUGGGGAGCGAACAGG